AGAGCUCAGAGGUAGGGGGAGGAGUUUCGUUCUUGGCUGGCCUUCUGGACCAUUAUAAAGACGUUGGCUUUUACUCUGGUGAAGUGGGAGGUCCAUGAGGGACUUGCAACAAAAGAGUGUCACUUUCCGACCUAUAUGUUAUUUUUUUUUAAGAUUUUAUUUAUUUAUUUGACAGAGACAGACAGCAAGAUAGAACACAAGCAGGGGGAGUGGGAGAGGAAGAAGCAGACUCAUAGCAGAGGAGCCUGAUGUGGGGCUUGAUCCCAGAACGCAGGAAUCAUGCCCUGAGCCGAAGGCAGAUGCUUAACGACUGUGCCACCCAGGCGCCCCUCCGACCUAUAUUUUAGAGCUAUGACUGUGGCUGCUGUGCUGAGAAUACUGCCGGUAGUUCAGCAGAGAGGUGGUUGUGGAUACCCCAGGGUCGUAGCUGGGGCCGGGCUGAGGAUGUUGCAUUCUGGACACUGCAUUUGAGGAUGGAGCUGACGCUCUGGAACGCCAGGGCAGCCCCAGGAGAACAGACCUGUGGAUGGCACUUCACCACGAGGAAGCUGAAAUGAGAUACUGGACGUGAGGAGGGAAGUGUAGCAGCUUGAAUGAAAGAGUGGACGACUGAGGCAGGAGAUCGUCAAGGUCUGGAAUCAGCCUGCGAAUGUUUCCCUUUAGGACUUAACAGAACGGUUUUACAAGGAUGUGAAAAAUCACAGCCCUGAGGCCUGGCGAUGCCCAGAAAGAAAGAAGCUGAGUGGAAGAUCGCUCAGGAAGUUUGACUCCUCGCUAAUCCCCAGAGCAAGUCUAGCUUACCAGGAGCCAUGGGGAUGGGCUAAAGGCUCAGAGCAAAGGUCAGUGCAAGUGGGGGUGCCUCUGUGGCCUGCAAACCUCCCAGUCCCCUUCUCCCCUGAAAGCCUG
This 906-nucleotide long non-coding RNA is filed under the name Ursus americanus (American black bear). RNAcentral describes it as "lncRNA (ENSUAMG00000013910.1)". The record is from RNAcentral. Lineage: Eukaryota; Metazoa; Chordata; Mammalia; Carnivora; Ursidae.